RNAcentral lists this ribosomal RNA (301 nucleotides) under uncultured bacterium. RNAcentral describes it as "partial 16S ribosomal RNA". It matches the Rfam family "Bacterial small subunit ribosomal RNA", at positions 509 to 807 of the family's 1533-position model. The record is from RNAcentral.
CAGUAGCCGCGGUAAUACAGAGGGUGCAAGCGUUAAUCGGAAUUACUGGGCGUAAAGCGUGCGUAGGCGGCUUUUUAAGUCGGAUGUGAAAUCCCUGAGCUUAACUUAGGAAUUGCAUUCGAUACUGGGAAGCUAGAGUAUGGGAGAGGAUGGUAGAAUUCCAGGUGUAGCGGUGAAAUGCGUAGAGAUCUGGAGGAAUACCGAUGGCGAAGGCAGCCAUCUGGCCUAAUACUGACGCUGAGGUACGAAAGCAUGGGGAGCAAACAGGAUUAGAGACCCCAGUAGUCCCUGUCUCUUAUAC